Molecule: long non-coding RNA, 1106 nt
Filed under: Pavo cristatus (Indian peafowl)
Lineage: Eukaryota; Metazoa; Chordata; Aves; Galliformes; Phasianidae
Description: lncRNA (ENSPSTG00000011417.1)
Source: RNAcentral
CAAUGCUUUGUAGAUGUAGGAAGCCAUGAGAUUUGCAAUGAGAUUGCUGAUGAGGUGAUGACUAUGGACAACUUGAUUGCUGAACUCCAGGAACUGAGCAACCAGCUGAGGGACCAAAGCUGAAACACAGACCAGAUUUCGUGACUGGAAAACAAGAAUGAUGUAUUUGUUUUGUUACAACUUCUACUGAUGAAAUGGUAACAAUUCUAAAGCAACAGCAGCCUCAAUAAACGUUUUUUCUGAACAAUGCUAUUCUUGUGGUCAGCUUUCUUCAGAUAACAGACCGCUUAAGAUCCUUAUCUGCUCUCGCAGCGUUACGAAGCUGUGCGUCUGCCUUCUCGGGCCCAGAUUUUCUGGCAGCGAGCCGGUUGUGUUUAUAAGGCGAUUACUGAGGAUUAGUUCUGGCUGAGAGCAUGGCGCGGGCGCCGCUAGGCCCCGCGGAGCACUCCACCCGCGGUGCGAGCCAGGCAGCGCGAGAGGUGCCGGGGCGCAGGAGCUGGAAGACCAUCCGGUGGAGGCGGGAGCUGACGCCUCCCACCUAUCACACUCUCAGCAGCGAAGUGCACAGCCAAUUGGAGGGCGUGUCUUUCUUCAGCUGGCCAAUCAGGAGCUGCAAGGCUUGACCCGCCAGAAGUGAGGGGCCGAGGCGAGGACCGGCUGUGGUGCGAGGGGCCAUGAGGCGGGGCGGUGCGUGGCAGCGCCUGUCGGGCUGUGAUGUAGAGCAGCAAUAAAGUAGUGUUAUUUCAGUGCUCAAAGGGAAAGCCUGCUAUUCACAGUGUGUAGCUGAAGAGUGGAAUGGAUAGUGUCAUGGCAGCACACCAGUUUGUACUGUCAUAUUUAGUGACGUACAAAGGGAAUGUAUCUAGAGACUUAAAAAAAAAAAAAUUGGAGAAAAACAACUUAAAUAUGUACAAGCAGCAUAAAUGUAGUGGGCAAGAUGGACAAGCAGGAGCUGGAUCAUCAUUUCAGGAAACAUUGGCUCUUCAGAACAGAUCACCAUCCCAGGAGAUCUCAGUCACUUCAUCUGUGGGACCAAACACCAGACGUCCUUCCAGAAUCUCAGUGGCACCCGUUACAUAGAGUGGCUACAGCACAGGAACUGAGAU